Poecile atricapillus (Black-capped chickadee) is the source of this 365-nucleotide long non-coding RNA. RefSeq lists it as uncharacterized. Lineage: Eukaryota; Metazoa; Chordata; Aves; Passeriformes; Paridae. The record is from RefSeq and is a predicted model, not a curated record. The transcript has 3 exons.
CCGAAAAGGAAUCAAAGGCACAACUAACCUGUAACAAGUGUGCUCAGUCAUGAAGUGGAUACAAGCUAAAGCUCCAUUAGCUCUCUCAGGCAGCUGUCAGAGAGAUCGUGUCAUCAUUCAGGAGGCUGCAGCAGCGUGGGCCAAACACAAACCAGGCAUCUCCUGCUGGGAGACUCCAGAUCUGUGCAGCAGGAACCCUGCAGGCUCCCAUUAUCUGCAUUAGCAUUGCUGUGUGGGACAUGGAUUAUGUCUGGUGUGAGUGGUUUAACCAGCCAGGCCCUCCUGGUUAAUGGACAUCAAGUUUAAUGAUUCUGAGACAGAGAUUCAUAAAGGAAUAUGAGCGUGAUCACAUCCAGUUGAAAAUG